AGUGAACGCUGGCGGUAGGCCUAACACAUGCAAGUCGAACGGCAGCACAGUAAGAGCUUGCUCUUACGGGUGGCGAGUGGCGGACGGGUGAGGAAUACAUCGGAAUCUACUUUUUCGUGGGGGAUAACGUAGGGAAACUUACGCUAAUACCGCAUACGACCUACGGGUGAAAGCAGGGGAUCUUCGGACCUUGCGCGAUUGAAUGAGCCGAUGUCGGAUUAGCUAGUUGGCGGGGUAAAGGCCCACCAAGGCGACGAUCCGUAGCUGGUCUGAGGGGAUGAUCAGCCACACUGGAACUGAGACACGGUCCAGACUCCUACGGGAGGCAGCAGUGGGGAAUAUUGGACAAUGGGGGCAAGCCUGAUCCAGCCAUACCGCGUGGGUGAAGAAGGCCUUCGGGUUGUAAAGCCCUUUUGUUGGGAAAGAAAAGCAGCAGGUUAAUACCCCGCUGUUCUGACGGUACCCAAAGAAUAAGCACCGGCUAACUUCGUG
Molecule: ribosomal RNA, 492 nt
Filed under: uncultured bacterium
Lineage: Bacteria
Description: partial 16S ribosomal RNA
Rfam family: Bacterial small subunit ribosomal RNA
Source: RNAcentral